Nocardia asteroides NBRC 15531 is the source of this 57-nucleotide regulatory RNA element. It matches the Rfam family "msiK RNA". NCBI's taxonomy places the organism in Bacteria, Bacillati, Actinomycetota, Actinomycetes, Mycobacteriales, Nocardiaceae. The record is from Rfam.
CCCUGCGACCCUGUUCUCGGAUCGUCCGGCACGUUCCUGCCGGGAUGGGAUGACUGA